CGACUCUCGGCAACGGAUAUCUCGGCUCACGCAUCGAUGAAGAACGUAGCAAAAUGCGAUACUUGGUGUGAAUUGCAGAAUCCCGUGAACCAUCGAGUUUUUGAACGCAAGUUGCGCCCAAAGCCUUUUGGUUGAGGGCACGUCUGCCUGGGCG
This 154-nucleotide ribosomal RNA is filed under the name Euryops virgineus. RNAcentral describes it as "5.8S ribosomal RNA". It matches the Rfam family "5.8S ribosomal RNA". From Rfam's summary of the family: 5.8S ribosomal RNA (5.8S rRNA) is a component of the large subunit of the eukaryotic ribosome. RNAcentral also lists the same sequence under 2 other names. Lineage: Eukaryota; Viridiplantae; Streptophyta; Magnoliopsida; Asterales; Asteraceae. The record is from RNAcentral.